UGGAAAUCUGACUAGAACAGAACCACCAUGGCCUAGGAACUUGUUCCCUGUCUAUGAAGAGUCAUCUCCAGACACCUUCUCUCAAGGCUGAACUGCAGUUGAAGAAUAGGCAUCCAUUUAACCUUACUCAUGAAGCAUGGCAAAGCAUCUCUUUUGUACAAGUGCUCCUGAAGAUAUAAGCAGCUCACUCUGGGGCAUGACACACAGUUCUCUGCAAGGUUCACAUGGAGCCUUCGGGCCAUAUGACAACACUGGGACUUUUCUUUCAGCCUCUCGUCUCAACUAGGUCAGCUUCCCUUACUUUAGUCAGCAGAAGCCAAACUCAAUAGAUGAGCCUGCCAAGAGAAGGGACUAACAAUGGGCACCACACUCUCACAGGAGGCACCAGGCAAAAAGCAUAAAGACCUAUUGUUAGAGGUGAGGGGCUCUGAGGGGCCAGACAAAGCUCAGCCUCGCCUUCUCAAAGCAGAGAAUAUAGAAGAACCUCUAUCCCCUGCUUCAAGAGAACAGUGAACGAGGGGAAAAAAAGUUCCAUCCCUCUUUUGUGAGCUCAACUGGCUGGGGUUAGUGAUGCUACAUUAUCCAGAAGGAAAAAUAAACCCAAAACACAGCUAACAAGAGCACAGCUCUGUGCAAGGGACUCAGCAAUGGGAAAACGUAACCCUUCCUAUUUGGUUCUCAGAGAUGUUUUUCAUUAUCAUUCUGUGAAGUUUCAAGAAACGAAUCCAACCCAAAGUAGGAAUGACUGUCCUAAAGUCACACUGCCUUUCUGACUCUGCGACUUUGCCACUAGAGUUUAGCCCAAGGAACCAGUGAAAGAGGUCAACUAUUAUUGCUUGAAAUUCUGAGUUAAUGGACUAAAUAAAAGAAGAGCUGAGAAAAGCAGCAAUAGUGACAGAAUCUAUCCAAAUCUAGCUGUGUGAUUACAAAGUGGAAAGCACCUAAAUGUCUUCCUGAUUAAAAAUUGGGACUGUAUCCCCAGUCAACAGAAUACUACACAGCAUGUGAUAUGUGGUUAUGUGCUAGAAGUACAUUUAUAGGAAAAUGCUCAUAAUAUGCUGUAUAUUAUGUUUGUACACAUCUAUGCAUACAUAUACAUAUUCAAGAAUAGAUCUAAUUGGGAAAAUUCAAGGUAUUAAAAGAACUUGUCUUAGAA
Long non-coding RNA from Mastomys coucha (southern multimammate mouse), 1156 nucleotides. RefSeq lists it as uncharacterized. The record is from RefSeq and is a predicted model, not a curated record. Lineage: Eukaryota; Metazoa; Chordata; Mammalia; Rodentia; Muridae. The transcript is spliced from 3 exons.